This 530-nucleotide ribosomal RNA is filed under the name uncultured eukaryote. RNAcentral describes it as "SSU rRNA". It matches the Rfam family "Eukaryotic small subunit ribosomal RNA", at positions 21 to 549 of the family's 1831-position model. The record is from RNAcentral.
UAGUCAUAUGCUUGUCUCAAAGAUUAAGCCAUGCAUGUCUAAGCACAAGCCCAAGAAUGGUAAAGCCGCGAAUGGCUCAUUACAACAGCCAUAGUUUACUGGAUCUUACUUUCCUACUUGGAUAACUGUGGUAAUUCUAGAGCUAAUACACGCAUGAAAGCUCUGACCGUUCGGGAGGAGCGCAUUUAUUAGAACAAAACCAAUCGGGCCUUCGGGCCCGCCAAUUGGUGAAUCUGAAUAACUUUGCAGAUCGCACGGUCUCGUACCGGCGACGUAUCUUUCAAAUGUCUGCCUUAUCAACUUUAGAUGGUAGUUUACACGCCUACCAUGGUUGUAACGGGUAACGGAGAAUAAGGGUUCGACUCCGGAGAGGGAGCCUGAGAAAUGGCUACCACAUCCAAGGAAGGCAGCAGGCACGCAAAUUACCCACUCCCGGCACGGGGAGGUAGUGACGAAAAAUAACGAGGCGGUUCUCUACGAGGCCCGCCAUCGGAAUGGGUACAAUUUAAAUCCUUUAACGAGGAUCUAUU